This 440-nucleotide ribosomal RNA is filed under the name uncultured bacterium. RNAcentral's name for it is "bacterial SSU rRNA". It matches the Rfam family "Bacterial small subunit ribosomal RNA", at positions 338 to 795 of the family's 1533-position model. The record is from RNAcentral.
CCUACGGGAGGCAGCAGCAAGGAAUUUUCGGCAAUGGGCGCAAGCCUGACCGAGCAACGCCGCGUGCAGGAUGACGGCCUUCGGGUUGUAAACUGCUUUUGAGGGGGAUGACUUGGACAGUACCCUUCGAAUCAGCCCCGGCUAACUCUGUGCCAGCAGCCGCGGUAAUACAGAGGGGGCAAGCGUUGUCCGGAUUUACUGGGCGUAAAGCGGACGUAGGCGGCAGUGCAGGUGGGGUGUAACACCUCCCGGCUUAACCGGGAGCGGCCAUCCCAAACCGUAUUGCUCGAGCCGUGCAGAGGGUGGUGGAAUUGCCGGUGUAGUGGUGAAAUGCGUAGAGAUCGGCAGGAACACCAAGGGCGAAAGCAGCCACCUGGGCACGGGCUGACGCUGUGGUCCGACAGCGUGGGGAGCGAACAGGAUUAGAUACCCCUGUAGUC